Molecule: unclassified non-coding RNA, 253 nt
Filed under: uncultured bacterium
Lineage: Bacteria
Description: contains 16S-23S intergenic spacer region
Rfam family: Bacterial small subunit ribosomal RNA
Source: RNAcentral
AACGUAGGAGGCAAGCGUUAUCCGGAGUUACUGGGCGUAAAGCGCGUGCAGGUGGUUCAGUAAGUUGGUUAUGAAAGCUCCUGGCUAAACUGGGAGAGGUUGACCAAAACUGCUAGACUAGAGUGGAUGAGAGGUAAAUGGAAUUCCGCGUGUAGUGGUGAAAUGCGUAGAGAUGCGGAAGAACACCAGUGGCGAAGGCGAUUUACUGGCAUCCAACUGACACUCAGACGCGAAAGCAUGGGUAGCGAACGGG